RNAcentral lists this ribosomal RNA (468 nucleotides) under uncultured bacterium. Its description in RNAcentral is "partial 16S ribosomal RNA". It matches the Rfam family "Bacterial small subunit ribosomal RNA", at positions 28 to 507 of the family's 1533-position model. The record is from RNAcentral.
GACGAACGCUGGCGGCGUGCUUAACACAUGCAAGUCGAACGGAAAGGCCCUGCUUUUGUGGGGUGCUCGAGUGGCGAACGGGUGAGUAACACGUGAGUAACCUGCCCUUGACUUUGGGAUAACUUCAGGAAACUGGGGCUAAUACCGGAUAGGAGCUCCUGUUGCAUGGUGGGGGUUGGAAAGUUUAGGCGGUUGGGGAUGGAUGGGCGGCUUAUCAGCUUGUUGGUGGGGUAGUGGCUUACCAAGGCAUUGACGGGUAGCCGGCCUGGGAGGGUGACUGGCCACAUUGGGACUGCGGUACGGACCAGAGUCCAACGGGAGGCAGCAGUGGGGAAUAUUGCACAAUGGGCGGAAGCCGGAUGCAGAAACGCCGCGUGCGGGAUGACGGCCUUCGGGUUGUAAAACGCUUUCGCCUGUGACGAAGCGUGAGUGACGGUAAUGGGUAAAGAAGCACCGGCUAACUACGUG